This 584-nucleotide ribosomal RNA is filed under the name uncultured bacterium. RNAcentral describes it as "bacterial SSU rRNA". It matches the Rfam family "Bacterial small subunit ribosomal RNA", at positions 331 to 929 of the family's 1533-position model. The record is from RNAcentral.
CCAGACUCCUACGGGAGGCAGCAGUGGGGAAUAUUGGACAAUGGGGGCAACCCUGAUCCAGCGACGCCGCGUGAGUGAAGAAGUAUUUCGGUAUGUAAAGCUCUAUCGAUAACGGAAGAAGAUGACAAGCCGUUAAGGAAGAAGCCCCGGCUAACUACGUGCCAGCAGCCGCGGUAAUACGUAGGGGGCAAGCGUUAUCCGGAUUUACUGGGUGUAAAGGGAGCGUAGACGGCAAAUAAAGUCUGAAGUGAAAUCCCGCAGCUCAACUGCGGAGUUGCUUUGGAAACUUAUAAGCUGGAGUGUCGGAGGGGUAAGCGGAAUUCCCAGUGUAGCGGUGAAAUGCGUAGAUAUUGGGAGGAACACCGGAGGCGAAGGCGGCUUACUGGAAGAUAACUGACGUUGAGGCUCGAAGGCGUGGGUAGCAAACAGGAUUAGAUACCCUGGUAGUCCACGCAGUAAACGAUGAAUACUAGGUGUCGGGAGGGAUAACCUUUUCGGUGCCGUCGCAAACGCAAUAAGUAUUCCACCUGGGGAGUACGUUCGCAAGAAUGAAACUCAAAGGAAUUGACGGGGGCCCGCACAAG